Molecule: ribosomal RNA, 485 nt
Filed under: uncultured bacterium
Lineage: Bacteria
Description: bacterial SSU rRNA
Rfam family: Bacterial small subunit ribosomal RNA
Source: RNAcentral
UGAACGCUAGCGACAGGCCUAACACAUGCAAGGUCGAGGGGCAGCACAGAGGUAGCUUGCUACUUUGGGUGGCGACCGGCGCACGGGUGCGUAACAGGUGUGCAAUCUGUCCAUAAUCGGGGAAUAGCCCAGCGAAAGUUGGAUUAAUGCUCCAUGUGAGUAAGAGAGGCAUCUCUUUAUUUGAAACGCAAGGAUUAUGGGUGAGCACGCUUCUGAUUAGGUAGUUGGUGAGGUAACGGCUCACCAAGCCGACGAUCAGUAGGGGUUCUGAGAGGAAGGUCCCCCACAUUGGAACUGAGACACGGUCCAAACUCCUACGGGAGGCAGCAGUGAGGAAUAUUGGUCAAUGGACGCAAGUCUGAACCAGCCAUGCCGCGUGCAGGAUGACGGCUCUAUGAGUUGUAAACUGCUUUUGUAUGAGGGUAAAUGUAGGUACGUGUACCUAUUUGAAAGUAUCAUACGAAUAAGGAUCGGCUAACUCCGUG